RNAcentral lists this ribosomal RNA (397 nucleotides) under uncultured bacterium. RNAcentral describes it as "partial 16S ribosomal RNA". It matches the Rfam family "Bacterial small subunit ribosomal RNA", at positions 523 to 918 of the family's 1533-position model. The record is from RNAcentral.
AUACGGAGGUGACAAGCGUUAUCCGGAUUUACUGGGCGUAAAGGGCGUGUAGGCGGUCUUGCAAGUCAGAAGUGAAAUUCCUGAGCUCAACUCGGGCGCUGCUUCUGAAACUGCAGGACUUGAGUGCUGGAGGGGAUAGCGGAAUUCCUAGUGGAGCGGUAAAAUGCGCAGAUAUUAGGAAGAACACCGGUGGGGAAGGCGGCUAGCUGGAAAGAAACUGACGCUGGGGGGCGAAAGCGUGGGGGGCGAACAGAAUGAGAUAGCCUGGUGGGCCACGCCGUAAACGAUGAAUACUAGGUGGAGGGGGUAUCGACUCCCUCUGUGCCGCAGUUAACACAAUAAGUAUUCCGCCUGGGGAGUACGGCCGCAAGGUUGAAACUCAAAUGAAUUGACGGGG